GACGAACGCUGGCGGCGUGCUUAACACAUGCAAGUCGAACGGAAAGGCCCUGCUUUUUUGCGCUGCUCGGGUGGCGAACGGGUGAGUAACACGUGAGUAACCUGCACUUGACUGUGGGAUGACUUCAUGACACUGGGGCUCAUACCAGCUAGGAUCUCCUGCUUCAUGGUGGGGGUUGGAUAGUUUCGGCGGUUGGGGAUGGACUCGCGUCUUAUCAGCUUGUUGGUGGGGUAGUGGCUUACCAAGGCCUUGACGGGUGGCCGGCCUGCGAGGGGGACCGGCCCCAUUGGGACUGAGAUACGGCCCAGACUCCUACGGGACGCAACAGUGGGGAAUAGUGCACAAUGGGAGGAAGCCUGAUGCGACAACGCCGCGUGCGGGAAGACGGCCUGCGGGUUGUAAACCGCUUUCGCCUUAGACGAAGCGUGAGUGACGGUAAUGGGUAAAGAAGCACCGGCUAACUACGUG
Molecule: ribosomal RNA, 468 nt
Filed under: uncultured bacterium
Lineage: Bacteria
Description: partial 16S ribosomal RNA
Rfam family: Bacterial small subunit ribosomal RNA
Source: RNAcentral